UUGUCCAUCGGCUUCCACUCUGGGCUGCGGCGGCACUCGGGGGCCGAGCCCCGUGUAGAGCGGGACCCGGGUCCGCCUCUACCUCAGUGAGACCAAAAGUUCCUAAAAGGCAGACUGUGCACUGAGUCCUGACCUACAGAAAUUAAUUCUGUGAAAGGAUCACUCCAUGAGAAUAAGGACCAAGAAAAGAAUGUAUCCUGAUGAACAUUUCAAAUGGUUCAUCAAUGGGAGAGCCCCAAGGCUAUCUUUCCAAGGUGGUAAGAUGCACCUUCUGUCCACUCUACACUGAGGCCCACUGGUGGCGUUAUUGCCUCUUCCCUUACCCCAGUGCCUUCCUCUCCUACCCCCGAAAUGCUGCACUCUACCUGGAAUACUACAUCCUGAGCUAGGAAGAGCCUCUUCCUUCUACAGUUUUGAGGAUGGUUUUGAUGGUGGAUUGAACUGCCUCUUAUUUACUCAGAUCUCAUGUGCCUAGCUUCUCUGUGAAAGGACCUACCAAGAUGGAGGAAAAGGACUCUCAGAAUUAAUAUUUAAUCUUUAAACAAAUACACUUGCAUGAUACGUCACAUCCCUGCCAAUUUAAAAAGACCUGUUGGUCCACCUAGGCUUGAGCUGUUCAAAGUGUGAUCUAUGGACUAGUAGCCUUGACUUCCCCCAGGAGGUUGUUGGAAAUGAAGAGUAUCAGACUCCCUAGCCUCACACCUACAGAGUCAGAAUCUGCAUUUUAAUAAGAUUUCAGAGUAAAGUAGAUGUACAUCUAGUUUGAGAAGCAUUGUUCUAAGAGAACUAAAAUAAAGAAUCCAUUUUCAUCUUGUGCAGUUUUUGCCAUUUGGGUAUUUUUUGCUUGACCAGGUUUUGGAAGAAGUAGAAUGGAGUGGGGGUGAAUGAUGGAACAUUUAGUCCAUUGAGAUAUUGGCUCUAAUCUUAGCUAAGUCAAGUUUUAGGUGUGAAGUUUUCUGUACAAUAAUUAAGAGAAAUAAAAAGGAUUGGAUUUUUAUUUCACUGAAUACUACUGAUGUGGAACAAGCAAAUGUAAAAAUCAAGAGGAUCAAGUAUCUCUAUAUUCAAUAAAUUAAAAAGUGCUUUGCUGCAGUAAA
Molecule: long non-coding RNA, 1097 nt
Organism: Suricata suricatta (meerkat)
Lineage: Eukaryota; Metazoa; Chordata; Mammalia; Carnivora; Herpestidae
Exons: 5
Source: RefSeq, a predicted model, not a curated record